This 496-nucleotide ribosomal RNA is filed under the name uncultured bacterium. RNAcentral's name for it is "partial 16S ribosomal RNA". It matches the Rfam family "Bacterial small subunit ribosomal RNA", at positions 28 to 506 of the family's 1533-position model. The record is from RNAcentral.
GAUGAACGCUGGCGGCGUGCCUAAUACAUGCAAGUCGAGCGAACAGACGAGGAGCUUGCUCCUCUGACGUUAGCGGCGGACGGGUGAGUAACACGUGGAUAACCUACCUAUAAGACUGGGAUAACUUCGGGAAACCGGAGCUAAUACCGGAUAACAUGUUGAACCGCAUGGUUCAACAGUGAAAGACGGUCUUGCUGUCACUUAUAGAUGGAUCCGCGCCGCAUUAGCUAGUUGGUAAGGUAACGGCUUACCAAGGCAACGAUGCGUAGCCGACCUGAGAGGGUGAUCGGCCACACGGGAACUGAGACACGGUCCAGACCCCUACGGGGGGAAGGAGGAGGGAAUCUUCCGCAAUGGGCGAAAGCCUGACGGAGCAACGCCGGGGGGGUGAAGAAGGUCUUCGGAUCGUAAAACUCUGUUAUUAGGGAAGAACAAAUGUGUAAGUAACUAUGCACGUCUUGACGGUACCAAAUAAGAAAGCCACGGCUAAAUACGU